Molecule: ribosomal RNA, 592 nt
Filed under: Wolbachia endosymbiont of Bemisia tabaci
Lineage: Bacteria; Pseudomonadati; Pseudomonadota; Alphaproteobacteria; Rickettsiales; Anaplasmataceae
Description: partial 23S ribosomal RNA
Rfam family: Bacterial small subunit ribosomal RNA
Source: RNAcentral
AUUAGAUGAGCCUAUAUUAGAUUAGCUAGUUGGUGGAGUAAUAGCCUACCAAGGCAAUGAUCUAUAGCUGAUCUGAGAGGAUGAUCAGCCACACUGGAACUGAGAUACGGUCCAGACUCCUACGGGAGGCAGCAGUGGGGAAUAUUGGACAAUGGGCGAAAGCCUGAUCCAGCCAUGCCGCAUGAGUGAAGAAGGCCUUUGGGUUGUAAAGCUCUUUUAGUGAGGAAGAUAAUGACGGUACUCACAGAAGAAGUCCUGGCUAACUCCGUGCCAGCAGCCGCGGUAAUACGGAGAGGGUUAGCGUUAUUCGGAAUUAUUGGGCGUAAAGGGCGCGUAGGCUGAUUAAUAAGUUAAAAGUGAAAUCCCGAGGCUUAACCUUGGAAUUGCUUUUAAAACUAUUAAUCUAGAGAUUGAAAGAGGAUAGAGGAAUUCCUGAUGUAGAGGUAAAAUUCGUAAAUAUUAGGAGGAACACCAGUGGCGAAGGCGUCUAUCUGGCUCAAAUCUGACGCUGAAGCGCGAAGGCGUGGGGAGCAAACAGGAUUAGAUACCCUGGUAGUCCACGCUAUAAACGAUGAAUGUUAAAUAUGGGAAG